This 162-nucleotide small RNA is filed under the name Arabidopsis thaliana (thale cress). Its description in RNAcentral is "ATSL057810". Lineage: Eukaryota; Viridiplantae; Streptophyta; Magnoliopsida; Brassicales; Brassicaceae. The record is from RNAcentral.
UUUUUUAUUGUGUUCAUAAACUAUUUCAUCCUUGGAAUCUUCUACUUCUCACUCAUGAUCAAAAUUUAGGAUAGAGAAUGGUAUACGGUUUAGUCUAUUUUGAAAUAAAAGUUUAGUUUAGAGAAAAAGUGGACGUGCCGGAGUGGUUAUCGGGAAUGACUA